GUUUGCCUUCUGCACCUCUGUAAAAUCUGAAGAAAGGUAAAACAUGUAUCCUAAGAGCAUGACACAUGGAUUUGAGUUCUUCAUAGUUUACUUUGAGAAAAAUGGCAUCUGGGUUUGAUUCAGCCAGUUGACAUAUCUUAGGGUGUAAAGUUCUGCAACCUCCACAACCAGGGGAAUAAAAGUCAAUUAUAACUAAUCUGUCACCAGCAUUUAACAAUGAAUCAGCUAGUUCUUUGGCUGAAUGAAUUUCUACCAUGUUAGGUUUAAGGGUUUUGUCCCACCAUCUUAAAGCUUUGCUUACACAAAUAGAAGCUUGUGCACUGAUUGAAAUGGGUCUUGGAGGUUUAACAUUCAAAUGGCUAAAACCAAUCUUCUGAUUUGAUACAUCCAAAGAUUUGCCCAUAAAUUCAUUUGGUGUCAAAUCUGUAACUUGCAGAGCCCCAAUAGAAGAGUUAACAGAAAACCCAGUUUUCAAUAAACAAGCCAUUUUUUGUUCUCCCUUGAAGACUAAUCAAGAAUAUAGCAUCCAACAAACAAACUCACACCAAACCCACCUACCCUUUUGGAUCA
This 570-nucleotide unclassified non-coding RNA is filed under the name Hevea brasiliensis (rubber tree). The record is from RNAcentral. Lineage: Eukaryota; Viridiplantae; Streptophyta; Magnoliopsida; Malpighiales; Euphorbiaceae.